AUGUAUAGUAUGUAUACAAGCUUAUAACAUAUUUAUACCUGUUCUUUUUUCUUUUUUCUUUUUUCUUUUUUUUUUUUGGUGAAGGCAACUGAUAUACGAGCAAAAUUGUUUUCAAAAUACUCAUGAAAACUGUAAAGAAAUGGACAAGUUUUAUAAAAUAUUAUCUGGGAUGCAAGCUAACAUAGCCACUUUAUCUUCUGAAUAUUUUUAUUUAAAAAAUGAUUACGUUUUUGGAGAUAAAUAUCCCGAUGCUAUGCUCAAAAAUGAUUAUUAUAAAAAAAAAAAUUAUAACUAUAAUAUAACAUUUUUUCAAGAAAAAAUUGGUUUAUUUCCUGAUCGAAUAGAAAAUCUCUAUUUUACUUUUGCUAUUUUAUUAAGAGCAUUGUGUAGAUUGAAAUUUUUAUUUAAACUGUGCAAAUGUAACUCGGGUUUUAGUGAUAACGAUAAAGAAGCUGUUAAGAUUUUGGGAGAUCUUUUAAGCAAUAACUAUCAUUCAUGUUCUUCUGAAACAUUUUUAAAACCACUUUUUCCAACAAAAUGGAAAGAUAUAUUAUCCAAGUUUGCAAUGAUAACAAAUAUAUUAGAUUGUGUACCUUGUGUUAAAUGUAGAUUACAUGGGAAGUUAAAAACUACAGCAUUGCAAAUUGCGUUAGUUGAAGGAGUAAGUUAUGAACAUAUUAGGUCCCUUGAAAGAAAUGAAAUAACUGCAUUGAUUAAUGCAAUUUACUAUUUUGCAGAUUCCAUACUAAUUAUAAACAAGUAAAGUUGUCCACUUAUUCGUUUGUUUGUCCACCUACUCAUUUGUUUGUCCACCUACUCAUUUGUUUGUCCGUUUUUUCGCUUAUCCAUUUUUAGGUUCGAAAAGAGACUAAAACUGAAGAAAAAGCUUUUUUUUCUUUUAUUUUUUUUCCAUUCUAUUUUUCGUCACUUUAGUCAUAUAUUCCCUAAUUUUUAUAUCAAGAAGAAAAAAAAAACAAAAGAUAAAUUAAAAUUAAAAUAAAAAUUAGAAUUAAAAUAAAAAUAAA
RNAcentral lists this long non-coding RNA (1025 nucleotides) under Piliocolobus tephrosceles (Ugandan red Colobus). RNAcentral describes it as "lncRNA (ENSPTEG00000022251.1)". Lineage: Eukaryota; Metazoa; Chordata; Mammalia; Primates; Cercopithecidae. The record is from RNAcentral.